Molecule: long non-coding RNA, 365 nt
Filed under: Homo sapiens (human)
Lineage: Eukaryota; Metazoa; Chordata; Mammalia; Primates; Hominidae
Description: HSALNT0342938
Source: RNAcentral
CAACCCCUCUUUUCCUCCUCCUCAGCCUGCUCAGUGUGAAGACAAGAGGAUGAAGACUUAUGAUGAUCCACUUUCACUUAAUGAAUGGUUUCCGCAGAGGCCAAAUAUACCAGAUGACUGUGAAAUUUUCACUUUAAUUUGCAUGCGUCUUUGAAAGUCCAUCUCUUCAAUAUUUUAUGACAGAGUGUGUUGACUUGAAGAAGUUAGAAAUGGCAAAUUCCCUUCCAAACCUGUUUUUCUGCUCUUACUAUAUCUCUAAACUAAACAUGUUGGAUUUGCACUUAUUCGGGUCUAGGUAAGUCACUAAAUAAGGAUAAUCAGUUAUGUAGGAUGUUAUUCAUGAGUAUAGAAUAUUGACCAAUUCA